GCAAAUGUGAUUUUCAUACUAUUCUUCCAGACUUGCCUAGUGUUGACGCUGUGCGCCGCUUUCUGGUGGAAAAACUUUGGUCUGGCGUUGUUUUUUGUCAUCCUGCAAGUGUUGUCAUUCAGCUGGUACAGCCUUUCUUACAUCCCGUUUGUCAGGGACGCCAUCUUGAGGUUGGUGGCCAUGUGCAUGAAAUGAGGCCUGUUUCAUCAGUGUUUUUUUUUUUUUUUUUUUUGAAAGGGGCAGGUUUCCCCAACCUCCCGUGUUUUAUUUUUAACAAGUUAGUGGGGUGCAUGUCCUUGAUGUAUAUUUUGUUAUUCCUGAUUUUGUCAUAUGUUCACACAAAACUAUGCUUUAGCGCUACAAAACCUGUUGUAUUUUGAUGUAUGAAUAGUCCAUUUUAAAUUAAAAUGUUUGUUACAUAUUACUGCUACUGCAAAGUGUCACAACUUGUUUCCAAAAAUAAAAAUUAAGAAAAUGAAAAUUACGUGACUUUCAUUUCACAAAUAAAUUCAAAAUUUUCAUUUUAUUUUAAUAUACAUGUUAAAAUUAUUGUGUUGUUUAUUCAGUUAGUUUUGUAUAUUUAUUUUCUGUGGAUUGAACGAUAUGGUACCAUUUGAUUGUAACAAAUUG
Molecule: long non-coding RNA, 630 nt
Organism: Hippocampus comes (tiger tail seahorse)
Lineage: Eukaryota; Metazoa; Chordata; Actinopteri; Syngnathiformes; Syngnathidae
Exons: 4
Source: RefSeq, a predicted model, not a curated record